GAUGAAGAACGUAGCGAAAUGCGAUAAGUAGUGUGAAUUGCAGAAUUCAGUGAAUCAUCGAAUCUUUGAACGCACAUUGCGCCCUUUGGUAUUCCUUAGGGCAUGCCUGUUCGAGCGUCAUUUAAACCUUCAAGCUCAGCUUGGUGUUGGGUGACUGUCCGCUUCACCGCGGACUCGCCUCAAAAUUAUUGGCGGCCGGUACAUUGGCUCUCGAGCGCAGCAGAAACGCGUAACUCGAGGUCCUCGUGCUGGCUCCCAGAAGCUAUCUUCACAAUUUUGACCUCGGAUCAGGUAGGGAUACCCGCUGAACUUAAGCAUAUCAAUAGCGGAGGA
RNAcentral lists this unclassified non-coding RNA (333 nucleotides) under soil metagenome. RNAcentral describes it as "partial contains 5.8S ribosomal RNA, internal transcribed spacer 2, and large subunit ribosomal RNA". The stretch from base 1 to 120 matches the Rfam family "5.8S ribosomal RNA", at positions 35 to 154 of the family's 154-position model. The record is from RNAcentral.